Molecule: unclassified non-coding RNA, 404 nt
Filed under: soil metagenome
Description: partial contains 5.8S ribosomal RNA, internal transcribed spacer 2, and large subunit ribosomal RNA
Rfam family: 5.8S ribosomal RNA (bases 1-122)
Source: RNAcentral
GAUGAAGAACGUAGCGAAAUGCGAUACUUGGUGUGAAUUGCAGAAUCCCGUGAACCAUCGAGUUUUUGAACGCAAGUUGCGCCCAAAGCCUUUUGGCCGAGGGCACGUCUGCCUGGGCGUCACGCAUCGCGUCGCCCCCCACAAUUCUUCGUAAAGGGAACAUGUGUUUUGGGGGCGGAUAUUGGUCUCCCGUGCUCAUGGCGUGGUUGGCCGAAAUAGGAGUCCUUUCGAUGGACGCACGAACUAGUGGUGGUCGUAAAAACCCUCGUCUUUUGUUUCGUGCUGUUGCUCGCAAGGUAAACUCUUUAAAAACCCCAAUGUGUCGUCUCUUGACGACGCUUCGACCGCGACCCCAGGUCAGGCGGGACUACCCGCUGAGUUUAAGCAUAUCAAUAAGCGGAGGA